AAACGCCGGCAGACCAACUAAAUG
This 24-nucleotide non-coding RNA is filed under the name Arabidopsis thaliana (thale cress). Lineage: Eukaryota; Viridiplantae; Streptophyta; Magnoliopsida; Brassicales; Brassicaceae. The record is from RNAcentral.